This 1117-nucleotide long non-coding RNA is filed under the name Triticum aestivum (bread wheat). Its description in RNAcentral is "long non-coding RNA (TAES_LNC010194)". The record is from RNAcentral. Lineage: Eukaryota; Viridiplantae; Streptophyta; Magnoliopsida; Poales; Poaceae.
AGGUACACUCCAGGUACAUUCAAGCAUAGGAAGUACUACCAAGGAGCUAAAACACGUACUAACAGCAAACAUGUACAUUCAAGCAUCCACGUAGCUACCAAGUAGCUACCAUUUCUACCAGCAGCAGCAACAGCCGCCUGAAAGACAAGGAGGUACUACCACCACCAGCAGCAACCAUCCAUCACCACCAGCGGCGACAUUUCAAAGACGCCCUCCCCUUGUUGUUGCUUGGCGUGCUGCAUCACAAGUCCCCCUAGACACACAAAAUUUAGAUGUUCAAAACAUAUCAACAUGUUGAGCAGAUAGGGAAUCAUGGAGCAAAUGUUAGUGUGGUGCAAGGCGACAGAUUACAUGAUUAAAUAUUAACAGAAGAAGAAUCGUUGAAUAAAUCGUGUGAAAUGGCAUGGUGGAUUUGGAAAGUAACAUUCAAGCGGCAGUUUGAAUCGAUGAGCAGACUAUACAGAUUCUAACAAGGCUACAAGGUUACAAGGCUACACAUUUGAACACAAGAAGCCAUAAAUUUGAACAACCAAAUUAAGAAUAGGAGUAGAUCAACAAUUGCAUAGCAACUAAAUUCUAAAUAUCACUAACCAACAAUACCCAAAUGACGUGGUGCGGCGACACAGAAACAUGGAAACCAACACAAAGUCUGCCAAAAUUUCAUCGCAUCACCGAGCAAACACUGAGAUCAGGUGGAAGAGGCCAACACUGAAUAGAGCGGUAACAGAGAGGGAAUGGGGGAGCGGAUAAAUUACAACAUCACAAAAGAUACUUCCACUUCUCACCAUCGACCUUGCAAACCUGCGAUUUAAACACAAAUCAGGACACGGGAUUUGCAAGAAAAACUAUCACAGCACGAGUUCGAAUAAGAACAAGGAGAUAGGAGCGGGAGCAAAGGGAACCGAGAUGCUUACCAUGGAGACCUGCUUGAUGUUGGAGUCCUUCCUGAAUAUGUCCCUGCAAAAAUAGAACCAAAAUGGGCCCCGGUCAGGACGCGUCACCACGCCACAGAAACAACAUGAAUCGAACCACAACAACAAAUCAGAUCUCGGGCUCACAUGAGGACUAAGACAGCGCUUGGGCUUGUUGUUGUCUUUCUUGGCCUUGCUCUUCUUCA